Molecule: transfer-messenger RNA, 352 nt
Filed under: Acidimicrobiia bacterium
Lineage: Bacteria; Bacillati; Actinomycetota; Acidimicrobiia
Also listed under: 1 other name
Rfam family: transfer-messenger RNA
About the family: Bacterial tmRNA, also known as 10Sa RNA or SsrA, is named for its dual tRNA and mRNA-like properties. Its role is to liberate the mRNA from a stalled ribosome.
Source: RNAcentral
GGGGGUGAAUUGGAUUCGACGUUGAGUGUUGAGGCGUCGGAAGCGAGCCGAGGUCUCCGGAGCCUCGUUAAAGAGCCGGAAAACAAACACAAGUGCCGAAGACAACUUCGCACUGGCUGCCUAAAUAACGCAGCCCGUCCGCCCGGUGGGCGCCUGCCUCGCCGGAAUCGGGCGUCGCAAUGCAGGAUGCGUCCUCCGGGGUCCGGGACCGGAGGGCAAAGAUUGAUCCCGGAUAGGUAGCCGGGAAGCCCGCCGUUGGGGUCCUGGCUCCCGAAAGCUCGCCGACGGCUGCGCUCGGAGAUGCCGACGCUAACGACUCAACGGACCCGGGUUCGACCCCCGGCACCUCCAA